UACGUAGGGCGCAAGCGUUGUCCGGAAUUAUUGGGCGUAAAGGGCUCGUAGGCGGUUUGUCGCGUCUGCUGUGAAAUCCCGAGGCUCAACCUCGGGCUUGCAGUGGGUACGGGCAGACUAGAGUGCGGUAGGGGAGACUGGAAUUCCUGGUGUAGCGGUGGAAUGCGCAGAUAUCAGGAGGAACACCGAUGGCGAAGGCAGGUCUCUGGGCCGCAACUGACGCUGAGGAGCGAAAGCAUGGGGAGCGAACAGG
This 253-nucleotide ribosomal RNA is filed under the name uncultured bacterium. Its description in RNAcentral is "partial 16S ribosomal RNA". It matches the Rfam family "Bacterial small subunit ribosomal RNA", at positions 524 to 776 of the family's 1533-position model. The record is from RNAcentral.